Molecule: long non-coding RNA, 1829 nt
Filed under: Cyanistes caeruleus (blue tit)
Lineage: Eukaryota; Metazoa; Chordata; Aves; Passeriformes; Paridae
Description: lncRNA (ENSCCEG00000002344.1)
Source: RNAcentral
CCCACUCCAAAUAAAACCAUGGGUACCUAAUCCAGUGAAGAAGUCAGUGCAAAGAUUGAUCACCCUCUAUGGGAUUCAGGUGUGUUUUUACAUGAAAGCUUAUCUGACCUGAAUUGCAGCUGUUUCUCCACUGGGUUGUCCUGUUGGUCAUAAAAGCCUUUUGGUCUAAAAGCCUUUGGUCCUGUGGCAUUUCUGCCACACUGCCAGAAUCCCCCAGAGUCCCUGGGGCACCUGUGAUGAGGCAACUGAAUUACUUACAGAACUUGCUCUGAAUUGCCCUGUGGCAUUUUCGCAAAGCCAGGAUCAUAUCUGAGGGACUUUGGGGAAUUUUUAGCAUCAUCUUUCAUAGAGGAAGACAUCCACAGUUAGGGUGAAAAGCACAGUUCUUGAGCUUUUGGUGACAUUGGAGGUGAAGAUGAUGUGGGUGCCUUUAUGUCACAGUGACUAUACUCUGGGUGAAAAUCCCAUGCAAAGAUUUUAAUCUUCACUGACAUUUUAAUUUUAAAUAUGAAAUUAUAUAAAGGAGAACAAAAUUCUAUUCUUUGGACUGAGGAAAAAAUAUUGGUCUACAUGUACAUAGACCUGAGGAGAGAAAUUGGCUCUGAUGUGCCAUCCUGCCUGGCUGAGUAGAAAGAGAAAGCAGCCAUAUGACUCAUAAUUUCACUCAUCUGCUGCUAACCAGAUUUCCCUCUAACAUCACAGCGCAGAACAGCCUGUUAAAUGGAAGGGAAAUCCCUCCUUUGGCAUGAAUACCCUUUGCCAUUUAGGUCCUUUAUUUCAGUACCUUUCCCUGUAGGUUAGUCUCUCUAUAGGGCACAAAAGAAUGUUUUAAAGCUAUCAGCAACCUGAGGAGCCAUAUAGGGUUUGCUUCCAUGUGCCAGGGGACUUUUCCAGCCUCGAAUCUCUCAUGACACUGCUGCUAUGAGAGAAGGUAAAGCAGCACUAACUCUGCCGUGGUGGGACACAGAAAAAGUCACCAGUGGGCAUCUGUCCCUCUCCCUUGGACAGCCCAGCUUUGGAUUGCCUGAAUGUCUCACAGUGCUGCCUGUGCAAAGCUGAGGGGAGUGAAAAGCAGCAACUUAUUUUUGCCGACAAGUAGAUGCAUAAUCCCUGAAUGCACUAGGAAAGCUAUCCAUUGAGGAAGAAAGCAACAUGUUUGCAGACUCCACACCCCAUUAUCAGGUGAUUUGUUAAAGCUGUCACUGCAUACAAAUCUGCUGCCGUCUUCCUCCAGAAUGGGGAGAUUUGAAAUAGUUUGCUGUAGACUUUAUUCUGUCUGAAUAGGGAAUUUUUUUUUUCCCCUAAAAUAUACUAAAAGCCAAAAUACAGGGAAGUUGAAUUGUGGUAGAAAAGAGCCCUAAGACUCCAUUUAUUUGCUUCCCUAAAUAAUUACCUAUCUCAUUUUUAGUAGCAUGACUCUAUUAUUGAUUAGACUGUAAUAUACAACCCUUACCUUAAUGAAGAAAAUGCAGAUCAUUUGUCAUUACUUCUGUUAAUGCUUGCAGCUGCUAGAAUUUGGAUUUUACAAUUCUGUACACAGAAAAAUAACUAUAUUCAUCUAUCUAUGCUGCAUCAGUAGCCUAAACAAGAUUGGAAAUAAUUUACAUAUACAUUCCUUUUCAGCUAAUCACCUUAAAACAACUCACUAAUCAUAAGUUAAUCUUCACAAGUUUCUGGCAAGUGGGGGAAAGACUUAUCCUGAUUUCACCCAUGGUAUAACUGAGGAAUAUAGAAGAUGUGGUGCUUGCUAAGUCCACAAAGAAAGUCUUGUGGAAAUGGGGAUGGAAUUCAAAUGAUUGGGCUUUCUGUCCACUUUGUUAAACAUAAAA